UGCCAGACUCCUACGGGAGGCAGCAGUGGGGAAUAUUGCACAAUGGGGGAAACCCUGAUGCAGCGACGCCGCGUGAGCGAUGAAGUAUUUCGGUAUGUAAAGCUCUAUCAGCAGGGAAGAAAAUGACGGUACCUGACUAAGAAGCCCCGGCUAACUACGUGCCAGCAGCCGCGGUAAUACGUAGGGGGCAAGCGUUAUCCGGAUUUACUGGGUGUAAGGGGAGCGUAGACGGUCCUGCAAGCCAGAUGUGAAAGCCCGAGGCUCAACCCCGGGACUGCAUUUGGAACUGUAAGGCUAGAGUGUCGGAGAGGCAGGCGGAAUUCCUAGUGUAGCGGUGAAAUGCGUAGAUAUUAGGAGGAACACCAGUGGCGAAGGCGGCCUGCUGGACGAUGACUGACGUUGAGGCUCGAAGGCGUGGGGAGCAAACAGGAUUAGAUACCCUAGUAU
Molecule: ribosomal RNA, 447 nt
Filed under: uncultured bacterium
Lineage: Bacteria
Description: bacterial SSU rRNA
Rfam family: Bacterial small subunit ribosomal RNA
Source: RNAcentral